AAAAAGAUAAGCUAAAUAAGCUAAUGGGUUCAUACCCCAUUUAUAAAGGUCUUAAUCCUUUUCUUUUUA
Molecule: transfer RNA, 69 nt
Filed under: Aclees cribratus
Lineage: Eukaryota; Metazoa; Arthropoda; Insecta; Coleoptera; Curculionidae
Description: tRNA-Met
Rfam family: tRNA
About the family: Transfer RNA (tRNA) molecules are approximately 80 nucleotides in length.
Source: RNAcentral